GCUUUCUUUCUCUGAUCCCCAAUAUGAGUGAGACCAAGAUGGCUGACUGGAGUGCCACAAAUCAGCUGGUCAUGUCAUGGCUUCUAAAUGCUAUUUUUCCUAAAAUUUCUACCAGUCUUAUUUAUAUUUAAGACAUCGGCUAAACAGGUAUGGUCUAGAGGAGCUAGAAUCCUUAAAGGCUAUUCCUGACCGAUUCCCUUUCGUCUCUGCUAAGAU
This 216-nucleotide long non-coding RNA is filed under the name Medicago truncatula (barrel medic). RNAcentral describes it as "lncRNA gene39712". Lineage: Eukaryota; Viridiplantae; Streptophyta; Magnoliopsida; Fabales; Fabaceae. The record is from RNAcentral.